UGGGGAAUUUUGGACAAUGGGGGAAACCCUGAUCCAGCCAUCCCGCGUGUGCGAUGAAGGCCUUCGGGUUGUAAAGCACUUUUGGCAGGAAAGAAACGUCGCGGGUUAAUACCCCGCGAAACUGACGGUACCUGCAGAAUAAGCACCGGCUAACUACGUGCCAGCAGCCGCGGUAAUACGUAGGGUGCAAGCGUUAAUCGGAAUUACUAGGCGUAAAGCGUGCGCAGGCGGUUCGGAAAGAAAGAUGUGAAAUCCCAGAGCUUAACUUUGGAACUGCAUUUUUAACUACCGGGCUAGAGUGUGUCAGAGGGAGGUGGAAUUCCGCGUGUAGCAGUGAAAUGCGUAGAUAUGCGGAGGAACACCGAUGGCGAAGGCAGCCUCCUGGGAUAACACUGACGCUCAUGCACGAAAGCGUGGGGAGCAAACAGGAUUAGAUGCCCUGGUAGUCCACGCCCUAAACGAUGUCAACUAGCUGUUGGGGCCUUCGGGCCUUGGUAGCGCAGCUAACGCGUGAAGUUGACCGCCUGGGGAGUACGGUCGCAAGAUU
Molecule: ribosomal RNA, 547 nt
Filed under: uncultured bacterium
Lineage: Bacteria
Description: partial 16S ribosomal RNA
Rfam family: Bacterial small subunit ribosomal RNA
Source: RNAcentral